Trematomus bernacchii (emerald rockcod) is the source of this 68-nucleotide small nucleolar RNA. RefSeq annotates it as small nucleolar RNA U54. The transcript has a single exon. NCBI's taxonomy places the organism in Eukaryota, Metazoa, Chordata, Actinopteri, Perciformes, Nototheniidae. The record is from RefSeq and is a predicted model, not a curated record.
UGAGCGAUGAAGACACACUUCCAUCGGAUAAACCAUGACGAUGUGAUAUACGCUAUUCUGAGCCAUUG